CACAGCUACUGAAUGGAUUGCCAAACAUUUUGGAACAGAAAAGUACCAAGAAAAUGUUAUUCCCCCCUCAGGAAUAAUUGUGAUGACUUUGGGUUAGGGGUUUGCAACCUGGCAGUUUUUGUUCAAGCUCAUGAUCUAAAGGUGGCAACAAUUUACUUUUCAGGCGAACAGUAACUUCACAUAACGUCACUGACUAGCAGAUCCGCUUGACGUUAACAUACCAAUAGAGUGAUGUAGCCAGCUAGAAGGCUAUGUGGAUUGGACAAAGUGCUUCACGUGGCUCUUCCAUGGGUGAUGUAUUGUAAACAAACGCAAUUGAGUAGGAUAGUUAGACGUCAUGAGAAGAUGCUGCAGCUUGACUCACAUUGUAAGCAUCAAUAAUGAGUUUGAUCACAUUGCUGGAGUUUGAGGACAGCGUGCCAACAGCUGAUUUAGGAAUCAGGUUUUUCAACUCCUGAAAGAGACACAAUGGCGGAUGGCUGGAAUUCCUCAGUGACGGCAAAGAUGGUCUGGAUGUUGUGGUCACUCAGUUUCUGAACCAAAUGGGCGAUGGAGGGGUAGUCCUAUCAAAUGGAUUCAUCAACACAGGUGACACUUCCCAUCGUUGGGCAGGACAAUGCCGCCCAGUUUGCCAUCUCCAGCAAAGUGGAAACCAGCGUCGGUGGAAAACACCAGCAGACGAGUCACGUUCCUCCAGCCGAUUUGGUCCUGGGAAGACAAAGAGAGCAUUAAUAUUCUCAUUAAUAUUUUACAAAUUUGCAAGACACCCUUGCCUACAUAAAGUGCAGUGGCAGAAGUCUAAAUUUCCUGAUUGUUGACACUACAAAACAGCCACUACAAAGCACACGGGAAAAACUCUUAAGCAACGUCCUACCUCACAGACCGCCACCUGCAUGAUGGCAUCGAAGCCCCCCUCUGGAGAGUCCAGGUUUCCUGAGAUCUGCUGCUGACUGACCAACCGAUUGAACUCGUCUCCCUUGUCUGUCAGCUUGAGGACAUUCUUAUAGCUGAAGGGGCUGGUACAGUUUUGGUUUCCUGUGCAGGGGUUGAUGAGCCUGGCUGGCGUGGUGCUGAUGUAAGGCAUGACCGUCUUCUCCACAAAUGAGCCAAAACCUAAAGAAGAAUUUUAUUUAUUUUAUUUUAUAAAAAUAUUUCUAACACUA
Micropterus dolomieu (smallmouth bass) is the source of this 1163-nucleotide long non-coding RNA. RefSeq lists it as uncharacterized. The transcript is spliced from 4 exons. NCBI's taxonomy places the organism in Eukaryota, Metazoa, Chordata, Actinopteri, Centrarchiformes, Centrarchidae. The record is from RefSeq and is a predicted model, not a curated record.